AAGGCUACACUUUCAGGGAUCAUUCCUAUAGUUCGUGACUAGAGAAGUUUAUCUGAAUGUGUGGAGCACCAGAAACCACGAGGAGAAGCAUAGCAUUCACUCCUGAGUGUAAAGGUGGCUUUUGGGAUGCUUGACUGUGGCUGCCAUUGGUCACUGAUGGUCAUUCUUCUCUUCCCCUGGAAGAGCAGAGGAUGCAGUCUAAGUGGG
Molecule: small nucleolar RNA, 207 nt
Filed under: Carlito syrichta (Philippine tarsier)
Lineage: Eukaryota; Metazoa; Chordata; Mammalia; Primates; Tarsiidae
Description: Small nucleolar RNA U3 (ENSTSYG00000021281.2)
Rfam family: Small nucleolar RNA U3
About the family: Small nucleolar RNAs (snoRNAs) are involved in the processing and modification of rRNA in the nucleolus. There are two main classes of snoRNAs: the box C/D class, and the box H/ACA class.
Source: Rfam by way of RNAcentral